ACUUUGGGGAGGGGGAUUUUUUUGAACCUAACCUUGAAGUGCACUUCUUCGCUUGGCAGGUUAGCGUCGAUUUUGAACGUCAUAAAAUGAUUGGGGGAAGGUAGCUCUUUCGGGAGUGUUAUAGCCCUUAAUUAAUGUGAUAUUUGGGAUCGAGGAUUGCAACGGAUGCCUUUUUAGGCUUAGCCGCCUGGCCUCUGAUUCGAUGUCGGGUUAUAGACAGCACGCUGACUAUGAUCUGAUUAUUGGUCAAAAGGUUAGAGCGAGCAUAAAUUCGUUAAGG
RNAcentral lists this ribosomal RNA (280 nucleotides) under uncultured Gigasporaceae. RNAcentral describes it as "partial large subunit ribosomal RNA". The record is from RNAcentral. Lineage: Eukaryota; Fungi; Glomeromycota; Glomeromycetes; Diversisporales; Gigasporaceae.